RNAcentral lists this long non-coding RNA (3079 nucleotides) under Struthio camelus australis. RNAcentral describes it as "lncRNA (ENSSCUG00000009273.1)". Lineage: Eukaryota; Metazoa; Chordata; Aves; Struthioniformes; Struthionidae. The record is from RNAcentral.
GAAAAUUGUUCUCGUCCACAUUUCUGUAUGGGGAACUUUGUAGCUGAAGGAAGGUUUUUGUCUAAAUGGGAAUCUUCCAGAGACCAGUGUCUUCUCCUGAAACGGAGAAGAUAGGACUGGACACGAUCUCUCUCUACAACUGCACAAUGGAUGUUUUGUUUAGGAGGUCUCGCAGAACACCUUUUCUACAGCUCCACUCAUCAAGGGUCACAAAACAUUUCUCAGUAUCAGAUAACAAACUUAAGAGCUGCAGUAAAAGACCAAACCUCACAAGGACAGUACUAGAGAGGAAUGUAACAGGAGAUGACACCAGUACCACUGCAACAAGACAUUUGCCAAAAAAGUCUCCCAGAAGAUUCUGAGAAAUUGGUGGUGGCAGGGGGAAGACAAAACAGUCCCCGCCAAUUUCACCUGAGGGAAAAGAUUUCUUUGUGACCCGAAUUUGGCAAUCGACUCAACCCUGCAAGCAAGAUACACCACAAACCACCUGACAAUUUAAUGUCACCAGUGUCCUUUCUACAUCCUGUCUGUGACUAAUUUCCAGUGCUUCAGAGGCAGUUGCAAAAACCCUCAGAAGCCAAAUGCAGGUGAGGAAGAGGGCCAGAAGAAGCCCUCAAGCUUGGGAAUGGUAGAAGUACAAUGCAAAGAGUUAGCGUUUCAGUCUCCCUUCAAAAUCCCUUGGAUAUACCAAAAUAUCCUGGUCUGAUUUAAAAUUAUUUAGGUUGCUUCUGCCUGUCUGUUCCCUCCUGGAAUGGUUAGAAAGCUUUUCAGUCGAAAGCAACUCAUGACCAAUUUAUAACCGUAUGUCCUCGUGAUAGUACGAUUCUUUAAUUUAAAUAGUUCUUCUUCCUUGUUAUUGACCCUUCCAAUGUAUUUAUAAUGAAUCAUCGCUCCUUUUUGCAGCCCUCAUUUUGCAGCUAAGCAAGCCAAGGACUUUUAAGCUCCUCUUUGAGAAGGCAGACACGCCAUUCCCCUAUCAUCCCCGUAUUUCUCUUCUGCACCUGUUCCAACCUGAGUCAAUCUUUUCUGAUCCUAAGUCACCAGAAUUGUACAUAAUUUUCCAGAUGAGGGUCCUUAGCAUUGCUGUGUAAAGCUGUACUAAUACUUUCCUAUCUACUAAAAAUACCCCACUUAGUGCAUCACAGUCUCAUAUAAGCCUUCUCCACAGCUAUUCCCUCUGGCAGCUCACAGUCGUUUUCUCAUCAAGGAAUAUACUCUCUUAGACGGUAGUAAGGUCAGAUGAGUAGGCCUAAGAUUACUGGUAUCAUUACCCUUCUCCUUUCACCAAGAGUGUUUUAGAUGUCAGGUACUACCACUAACCUUGAACAAACCCUUGCUUCUGCAAUUAUAAUUUAAUUUGCCAGUUUCUUUCAAUAUUUCUGGGUAAAGAUCAUCCUUGAAUUCCUCUGUCCUAAAAAACUCAUCAGUUUCCUUAGUUUCUCUAAGUUGCUAUUUUGUGCGCCCAAGGUUCAGACAAAGAUCUACUCUUAUCCGCCUUACAAUUUAACAGAAGUAGAAUCAGUUCAUGAUCACGCAGUUCAAAAUUAUUCUCCAUACUAUGGUCUUCUACAUGGUUCUAGCUGCUUAUUAAUACUAGGCCUAAAAUAGCAUCGUCUUUCAUGGUCUAAGUCCCUGUCUGCUUGAGAAAUCUACUUUCUAUCAUGUUCAAGAACAUCUAAGCCCUACCAUUUACCAGUGGUAUUUUCCGGUCUGUGUCUGAGAAAUUAUAGUUUCCCAUAAUCACAUGCUAUUUACUAUUGCAUAUUUUCUCCACAGUCUUUAGAGAUAACUAUCCCUACCCAAGUUAGUAACGGCUGACCACCUUUAUACCAGUGGAGCCUUUUUUAUUAUUAUUCUCUCUCAUAAUUUUCUAAAGUAACGUCAUCUUAUUUUAUUUCUUUGAAACAUUUUACUAAAUUACACUGUCACUGCAUGGUCUUUACCCUUACUUCUAUCGUUCUAUAUAGCCACUCCUCCAAUGACUAUAUUCUAAAUAUUACUCCUAAGCAGCAGUGUGCAGUAUUAUGUAACAGUAAUGUGUAGUACUGCAUUGAUAGACAACGUUUCUGGCCCAGCAAAUUAUGAGAUUUAUUGAAAGCACUACUUUCUUAUAACAUGCACUUCCAAACUACUUACACAUUGGUCACAUAUCUCACUGUUGUAAUUGUCUCAGAAUUCAUUAAAAAGUUUUAGUCAUGAUAUAUAGCAAACGAAAAAAGAACAAUUAAAGCACUUGGCAUUUCAUUAGAUCAACACUUUUUUCCUUUGGCUAUAAACAUUUAUAAAUGUGGAAAAGCCUCUGUUUGGCAUCUUUUAGAUAGUAUUAAGAGUUUGUUUUAACACUCUUUUGGGGAAGAAUAUAUUAGUAUAGUUGCUGGAGGUACAGACACUGGAAUCCAGUUAUGGUGGGGUGUUUUUUAGGGAAAAACAAGAGGACACGUAUACCCCAGCAGAAAGUGGCAAAGAAGGAAAUUGCAGGUUUGUCUCUGAUGCAAACUUAUUUGCAGACUCGCUGCUGGAGAAAUGCAGGUUGAGUACACAGUUUUAUCAGCCGUUCCAAAGCUAAGCAAUCUCAAACAAGUGAUGGGAACAUUUAGGACAUUGGUCUUUGAUUCUCUUUCUGAUCACAGGUUCACCGUGUCCUUUCAAAAGGUGCAGCUGUCAGACAGCAGCAAAAGGAGGGAGAGAGGAAGGGGGAGAGAGAGAGAGAGAGGGGAGCCGGAGAGGGAAUGACAGAGGGGAGAAAGAGGGAGGGACAGGGAGAUAGAAAGGAAAGCAGAGAAAUGGGAUGAAGAAGAAAAACAGCACGCAAGGAGGGAGUUAAGAGUAUGAGCCAAGCUUCACGUUUUAGGGGCUGCUGAGGACAUAGCCAGAAGCAGGGAUGCUUAGUUCUCCUGGGUGGGUUGGCGUGGGGGUUACACAGAGGAAGAUCUAGCAGGGUCAGGAUGGAUUUCAGGACUCUGGGAGAUGCUGUAAGUGGUAACUAUGACGUAAAGCUUGUCCGUUAAGGAUCGCACAUCCAACUGUUCCUCCCUAGUCAUCCCUCAAUAAACAAUGUCCAAAAAGGAUGGUGACCUCA